GCUUAGUAUUCAUUUGAAAUAAAUCAAAACCAUAUAGAAAAUUAAUGUGAAUGCUUCUUGUUACUAACCAAGCAUUAGGCAAAAUACAAAUCCAGAAAAGAGAAGAGUCUUGAUUCAAAAACUAAAAUCUCCAAAUAAAAAAGGUAUCUUAAAACUUCAACAUAGGUCGGUCGUACUGACAUAUGUCCCGUCCCAGAUGUUCAAAGGUCUUGAACACUCAAACCUGAAACGAAGAAACCUCGAUAAAUAAAUAAAAGCCCAACAACUUACAAAAAUGGAGACUAUACUAGUGAAGUUCGCUCCUGCUGUGGCUGCUGUUGUGUUGGUGGUGGCAUCGCAAUUUGAGAAUGGGAAGGAUUUUCGUUAUAAGCUUGAUUAUUUGUCAGACCGUGAUAGUUACCUUGCUGAUAACCCUGAUAACCAAGCAAACCAGGGUUCGUAGCUCCAGGGACCGAUACGUAGUUUUGGUUAAGCAUGGGAGUUUCAUGCUGAUACUGAGCUUGAUGUGAACCUUGAGAGUACAUGGAGUAAUUAUCCGAUGGUGGUGGAGGUAACGCCGCCUGGUAUUGCAUACCACCUUGUACCAUUCCACCGGAGUAGCUCGGUGUGCUUGACACUGGAGGAUAGUGCACCGGAGGAGGAGGCAGUUGCCCCACCGGAUUGUACUGAUUGCCUAAUUGUUGAAACGAUAGAUUUGAUGGGUCAGAAACCGUUGAUUGAUCUCUAUUCCAGGCUUGUGAUGGAGCUUCUCCAUUGGAUAAUCCAACGGCUUGGUGACUUUCUGCUUGAGAAUUUGUUGGGAGCAAGGAGGCAAGAGUGGCUAUUAGCUCAGGCGUUAGACUAACCCCGGCUUGAGGCGUUGCAGUGUUAUGUACAGCAACAGGCUUCAUUGGUUCCUGUAUACCCCAGGCUUGAUCUUCCCUAGCAGCGUACAAACCGUGAUUGGCACUGGCAGGCGAAUCUCGAGACUGAUCCAUAUAGUGUGGAGGAACGGUAUGAGAUUCUUGUCUAUACGAUAAAGCUGCAGGAACCGGUGGUGGUGGCAAUUUGAGAACAACACCGUAUAGCCUCUCUCGACCGGAUACUUUGAGCACAUCAGUUAAGAAAUCUGAUGGUGGAACCAAGAAUAAAGUGGUUCCAUCAUCUAAUUUGGCAACACCUGCUCUAUUCUUUGAACCAAGAUAUUGGAGAAAUUCAGUAUAAGACGCGAAGUCGUCUUCGCUGUCUGGUAAGAAGAAAACGAUUUCAAAUCCAAUUGCUUCCGUAUAGUGUUUGGCAAGCAUAUCCAAACCCGUUCGUGCUGAACAAUUGACCAUCUCAGGGCUAUUAACCAAUUCCAAAAACCGAUAAUCAGUAAUCCAUUCGGUACUUGUUAUCAAUGAAUCGAAUCAAACACUAUGCAAAAUCCAUUUUCAGAUCACAACAUCUAAAAGAAUCAACAGAUAAGAUAACUUCUAAUCUAUGAACUAAAACUUAUCCUACAUAAGUGAAGGCAAAAAAAAAGGCUAAAGUGCAUGAAAAUGUUACUCACAGUUCAGAUUCAAUCCCCUUUCCAAUAGGUACACAACGAGCAUGACAAACAGGAGUUCCACCUUUGGCUAUGACUCCUCUCCAAAUGAAAUCAGUAUCAGGGAAACCACGGCCUGGUCUACGUCGAUAUGUCCUAUCCAACCCAGUGAUACGAUCAUCUACACCCAUCGGAGGAAAAGCAUCUACAGAUCCAUCUCUACGAGUUCUUUUAGGUUCUCUAUCCAACUGAGCAGGAUCAUAUCCUUCCCAAGAACCACGGUUUGACCGAAUGGGUAACCUUCUACUUGGUGCGGGAGACGGGAGUAUUCCAGCUCCACUAGGAGAUGACCUUCUCCAGCUUCCUUCGUUGCCAACCACAUCGCCAUAUUCUGGACCAAAACGUUCCAUGCUACCUCGGAAGGGCCUCACAGGGUCAAGAACCACACUGGAAUGUGGUGACGAUAUGUACGGAGGAUCACUGAUGAACAUCUCAGGCCUUGACCGUUUAACACCAGAAUAAAAACCGGUAUCAUCUCCCCGUCCAGGGGGAAUGUUAUCGUUUUGGUACAUGAUUGUGAUUCUUGGAUCGUUGAAUAACCUUCCCUGUAGUCCUUCCUUAGCACAGCGAGCUUCCUCAAUGCUUCUAAAUUCCACAAGUGAGAAAUGCCUUGAUGGAUAGCUAACACAUCUCUCAAUCUCACCAAAAAGAAUCAUGGAAUUGUGCAGCAGUCGUUCGUCUAUCUGAACAGAAGGAGGGUACCCAAUCCACAGAACGUUACUUGCUUGGCCAUCUCCAGAUGAGUGAGUAUACUGUUGUUAAGCAUAUAAAAAUUUGAACUCAGGAACCUGGCAAGCCGAAAGCUUUCUAAACUAUAAACAUGAAAGCCGAUAAAGGCUAACCUGGUGCUUAGCACUCAAACUGCCAUCCCUGCCAUCUUCGGAUCCAAGCCGUGGUUCCUACAGAGAUAAGAAUGUCAUGUAAUUUCGGAGUCAUUUAGCAGAUUCUACAACAUAGAUAUGAAAAAGUAAACGCAGAAGAAAUAAAAAUGGAAACACGUGACACAAGUAGAUAUAGAAAGAUUUUAGCCAUGGCAGUCUUAUACAUAUCAUGAAACCUAACGCACUCAGUAGUUCUAACAAAAUGAUUACUGAAACUUAUUCUAAUGCGAAAAAAAAAGAACGACGAGAGGAUGCUUACUUUUCUUGGCCCUUGUGACCGAAGAAAAUCAACUCGCAAAAAGCUACCACCUAGUCGCUUCCCGUUCAUGGUCUUUGCCUGUACAGCAUCGUCCACGUCAAAAUAGUCAAUAAAAGCCGUCUUGCGAUCCUUAAGAAACCUGAAACUUUCGAUUUCCCCAAACUUCCUGAACUCUGCCUCGAGUACAUCCUUCGGGACACUCGAGCUGAUUCCACCAACCCAAAGACUCUUACAAGGUUUUGCCUGCACACAAAUAAUUUCCAUAAGAAGCCAAUAAAAUACAUCUUUAACAACAUCCAGAAUUGGCUUUCCUGGCUGUCAUGAAGAGAACCUUUUUAAACACAUAAACCACAACAAAACAAAAUCAGUUACUAAUUCAAAGAUUGUAAUAAAAAAAAUCACAUUUAAUGGCUACCAUAAACACACAACAUGACUUGAGGAGAAUCAUUUCCAUAAAUAGAAGAGAACUAUGUCCUCUGUGUUGAUCAUAUUUCAAAUUUGGCACAUUACUAAAUAAACCAACCCUUGGACGAACCACUAAGAUGAGCAGAAAGCAAAAGAUGCUGGCAAGUCUUUCAUGUUCUAGGAUAAGUUGCUAGCGUUACUGUUACAUCUCUGAUGACUAGAGGAACUUACAAAUAUUGAAUUACUGCAUUUCGAAAUUUACAUCUCAAACUCGAGAAACAUUCUGCACAAUCUGAAAACUCUGGCAUUCAUUCACCAAGUCUAAUCCGAAGGAUUAAGAUGCUAAUUACGUUUCAGAUACUUGAACGCAUUUAAAGUUCAUAAUCAAUCUUAUGAGAUUAAGCAUAUAGCACAAACUGUUAUCCAUAAGAAGAAGCAAUCAUUUGUGGAACAAAUCAAGCAUACGUGGCACUCAUGAUCUGUGAAAUUCCCGAUCUAACCAUUAACAAGAGACUAUCAGAGUUAAAGGAAGAAACGCGAUGAUCAGAACGAACCGCUCGUGCGAAUUCGAUUUUAAUGUGACUCCCGUUUAGAUUGGCGCCUUGAAGAGCCCUUGUUACUAACCAAGCAUUAGGCAAAAUACAAAUCCAGAAAAGAGAAGAGUCUUGAUUCAAAAACUAAAAUCUCCAAAUAAAAAAGGUAUCUUAAAACUUCAACAUAGGUCGGUCGUACUGACAUAUGUCCCGUCCCAGAUGUUCAAAGGUCUUGAACACUCAAACCUGAAACGAAGAAACCUCGAUAAAUAAAUAAAAGCCCAACAACUUACAAAAAUGGAGACUAUACUAGUGCCCCUAUAUAUAAGGUUAAGAUAUCAAAGUCUAGUACAGUUAUCAUUUCAAGAGAUUAACUUAGCAAAAUCUAACAACCUGUAUAUGGAUCAAGAUAUCAAAAUCAAACACAGUUAAAUGAUGAAAUUACUUAGUAAGACGCAUAUGCCAAUUCUACCAAUGUUGAGGGGGAGGUUGAUAGCAGAAGUAAAAAAAAAAGGGAAGAGAUUAAUUAUGAACCUG
Molecule: long non-coding RNA, 4182 nt
Filed under: Brassica napus (rape)
Lineage: Eukaryota; Viridiplantae; Streptophyta; Magnoliopsida; Brassicales; Brassicaceae
Description: long non-coding RNA (BNAP_LNC008275)
Source: RNAcentral